GAUGAACGCUAGCGGGAGGCUUAACACAUGCAAGUCGAGGGGCAUCACGAGGUAGCAAUACUUUGGUGGCGACCGGCGCACGGGUGAGUAACACGUAUGCAACCUACCCUGUACAGGGGGAUAACCCGGAGAAAUUCGGACUAAUAUCCCAUACAAUUAUUGGAGGGCAUCCUUUGAUAAUUAAAGCUCAGGCGGUAUAGGAUGGGCAUGCGGAACAUUAGCUAGUUGGUAGGGUAACGGCCUACCAAGGCUACGAUGUUUAGGGGACCUGAGAGGGUUAUCCCCCACACUGGUACUGAGACACGGACCAGACUCCUACGGGAGGCAGCAGUGAGGAAUAUUGGUCAAUGGGCGCAAGCCUGAACCAGCCAUCCCGCGUGAAGGAAGAAGGCCCUAUGGGUUGUAAACUUCUUUUCCAGGGGGUGAAUAAUUCCGAUGUAUCGGGAGAUGACGGUACCCUGGGAAUAAGCAUCGGCUAACUCCGUG
Molecule: ribosomal RNA, 486 nt
Filed under: uncultured bacterium
Lineage: Bacteria
Description: bacterial SSU rRNA
Rfam family: Bacterial small subunit ribosomal RNA
Source: RNAcentral